UUCCAGGAGGAGAAACUCGAGGCUCCACGAUGGACUUGAAAGGACAGACAGUCCACAGGGACAGAACUCCCCGGUUGGGACAGUGUGUACUAACCAGGCCACAGCCGGAGAGGAACCAGAGGAACCUGCAGAAGACCAGCCUGAAGAGAUCCACUACGGUGACAGACUUCUCCAAACUACAGACCAAAGAGACCCCAGCUGCAGCCCAGGACAGGGUCCAGGGACAGGAGAGUGAGUACGCUGAAGUCAAUGUGACUGGGAGAGGGGCUCAGGAACCACCUCUUAACAACCUAGAUGGGCUUUAUGCACAAGUCAAUAAAAGAGAGCAUCUGUUUAAUGGGUUCCAGUAUAGAGGAACUGCUGAGUUCAACUAGCUCACUGAAGGCAGUUUAAGACCAUAUAAAGUCAAUGAUGACUGAGGAGAGAAGACACAGUUAGUUGGAGAGACAGUGGUCUGAUACAAGACAGGAAGUUGGUGCAGGAAGUCUACAUUACGGCAGAAUGGUGUUAACAUCUACUAGUCACUGUUUCUCUUAAUAUUUUGUGCAGUUACCAGAAUAACAAUAUUAUCUAUUUUCAGUUUAU
This is a long non-coding RNA of Oncorhynchus tshawytscha (Chinook salmon), 585 nucleotides long. The record is from Ensembl. Lineage: Eukaryota; Metazoa; Chordata; Actinopteri; Salmoniformes; Salmonidae.